AUGGCGCUGCAAAGAUGGGUGACAAGAAGAAAAAGGGCCGUUCUGCCAUCAAUGAGGUGGUGACUGAAGAAUACAUCAUCGACAUUCACAAGUGCAUCCAUGGAGGGGCUUCAAGAAGCGUGUCUCUCAGGCACUCAGAGAGAUCCAGAAAUUUGCCACGAAGGAGAUGGCAAUUCCAGAUAUGCACACUGAUGCCAGUCUUAACAAAGCUGUCCGAGCCAAAGGAAUAAGGAAUAUCCAUACUGUAUCUGUGUGUGGUUGUCCAGAAAACAUAAUGAGGAUAAAGAUUCACCAAAUAAGCUCUAUACUUUGGUUACCUAUGUACCUGUUACCACUUUCAAAAAUCUACAGUCAAUGUGGAUGAGAACUAA
This 371-nucleotide long non-coding RNA is filed under the name Homo sapiens (human). Its description in RNAcentral is "non-protein coding lnc-TNP1-7:1". The record is from RNAcentral. Lineage: Eukaryota; Metazoa; Chordata; Mammalia; Primates; Hominidae.